RNAcentral lists this ribosomal RNA (253 nucleotides) under uncultured bacterium. RNAcentral's name for it is "partial 16S ribosomal RNA". It matches the Rfam family "Bacterial small subunit ribosomal RNA", at positions 524 to 776 of the family's 1533-position model. The record is from RNAcentral.
UACGUAGGGCGCAAGCGUUAUCCGGAAUUAUUGGGCGUAAAGAGCUCGUAGGCGGUCUGUCGCGUCUGCUGUGAAAUCCCGAGGCUCAACCUCGGGCUUGCAGUGGGUACGGGCAGACUAGAGUGCUGUAGGGGAGACUGGAAUCCCUGGUGUAGCGGUGAAAUGCGCAGAUAUCAGGAGGAACACCGGUGGCGAAGGCGGGUCUCUGGGCCGAUACUGACGCUGAGGAGCGAAAGCGUGGGGAGCGAACAGG